GUGUGGAAAGAUGUGGCAGGAAAACAGGUUUUAAAAAGCAUUUGAACUCAAUCAUUCAGAGCCUUAAAACUCAGGCUAAGAAGAUCAUACUGUAUCCCAUAAGGCCUGAGACGCUAUGCAGAUUUUUGAGCAAAAGAAACAGGGAACGUGACAUUUGUGUCAUGUUAAUGAGGUGUGGACCAAAGAGACAAAGGCUUAGUUGCAGAAGGGGCUAUUGCUAUGGUCUAAGGAAGAGUGGUGAGAGCAAGAGUUUGGGAAGUAGCUUGGGAAAUAUAAAGGAAGAGACAGCGUUGUUUGAGAGAUAAUUAGAAAGUAUAAUCAACAAAAUUUAGUGACUAAUGAGGCAUGAGUGUAGAGAGAGGAAUUAAAGACAACUCCAAUAAAAGUGGCCUGAGAGCAGGGAGGUUUAAGUGGGGUAUAUGGGAAGCAUAGGAGGUGCAGUUCUGAAAAGAAACUGGCCAGGAGAGUAUAGGGUUUCGACACGGUGAUUUUGAAUUGCCAGCAGAAACUUUAAAUUGGAAUUCAGGCGAUAUAAAAUUUAGAGUCACCAGUAUGGAGACUAGGCUUAAAGCCAUAAGAGAAGAUGAGAGCCCAGGAAGAAAGCACAGAGGAAAGGAAGAAAGCAAAGAGGGGAAGCUCUGUGGUAGAAAUUUUUUUUUUUUUUUUUUUUGAGAUGAGUCUCGCACUGUUGCCCGGGCUGGAGUGCAAUGGCGCGAUCUCGGCUCAUUGCAACCUCUACCUCCCGGCUUCAAGUGAUUCUCCCGCCUCAGCCUCCCAAAAGGUGGGAUUAUAGGUGCCUGCCGCCACGCCCAGCUAAUUUUUUGUAUUUUUAGUAGAGAUGGGGUUUCACCAUGUUGGCCAGGCUGGUCUCGAACUCUUGACCUCGUGAUCCGCCCGCCUCGGCCUCCCACAGUGCUGGGAUUACAAGCGUAAGCCACCGCGCCUGGCCCAGUAUAGUGCUUUUUGAAUAGGUAUGUAGCCUUUUGAGUUUGGCUUCCUUUGCUGAGCAUAGUAUACUUGACAUUCACCCAUAUUCUUAUGAGUAUCAGUUGUUUGUUUCUUUUUACUGCUGAGCUGUAUUCCAUUCUGUGGAUAGACCUCAGUUUAUCCAUUAACCAGUUGAUGUACAUUCGGGUUGUUUCCAGUUAUUGUUGAUUUUGAAUAAAGCCACUAUAAACAUGUGCAUAUCAAUUUUUGUGUGAACAUAAGUUUUCCUGUCUCUAUGGUAAAUACUUACGAGUGGGAUUGUCG
This 1251-nucleotide long non-coding RNA is filed under the name Homo sapiens (human). RNAcentral's name for it is "HSALNT0110890". Lineage: Eukaryota; Metazoa; Chordata; Mammalia; Primates; Hominidae. The record is from RNAcentral.